Molecule: ribosomal RNA, 497 nt
Filed under: uncultured bacterium
Lineage: Bacteria
Description: partial 16S ribosomal RNA
Rfam family: Bacterial small subunit ribosomal RNA
Source: RNAcentral
GAUGAACGCUGGCGGCGUGCCUAAUACAUGCAAGUCGAGCGAACAGACGAGGAGCUUGCUCCUCUGACGUUAGCGGCGGACGGGUGAGUAACACGUGGAUAACCUACCUAUAAGACUGGGAUAACUUCGGGAAACCGGAGCUAAUACCGGAUAAUAUAUUGAACCGCAUGGUUCAAUAGUGAAAGACGGUUUUGCUGUCACUUAUAGAUGGAUCCGCGCCGCAUUAGCUAGUUGGUAAGGUAACGGCUUACCAAGGCAACGAUGCGUAGCCGACCUGAGAGGGUGAUCGGCCACACUGGAACUGAGACACGGUCCAGACUCCUACGGGAGGCAGCAGUAGGGAAACUUCCGCAAUGGGCGAAAGCCUGACGGAGCAACGCCGCGUGAGUGAUGAAGGUCUUCGGAUCGUAAAACUCUGUUAUUAGGGUAGAACAAAUGUGUAAGUAACUAUGCACGUCUUGACGGUACCUAAUCAGAAAGCCACGGCUAACUACGUG